This 45-nucleotide non-coding RNA is filed under the name Schistosoma haematobium. Lineage: Eukaryota; Metazoa; Platyhelminthes; Trematoda; Strigeidida; Schistosomatidae. The record is from RNAcentral.
AUCAAGCUGACGAGUCUCAAAUAGGACGAAACGCGUGUCCUGAAU